GCGCCGGUGGUGUAAAGGCGUAGAGCAUUACCGCGCGGUCAGAGGGAGGUGCGGGUUCGAGUCCCGCCUGGCGCC
Non-coding RNA from Heligmosomoides polygyrus, 75 nucleotides. The record is from Rfam. Lineage: Eukaryota; Metazoa; Nematoda; Chromadorea; Rhabditida; Heligmosomidae.